This 317-nucleotide long non-coding RNA is filed under the name Oncorhynchus mykiss (rainbow trout). RNAcentral's name for it is "lncRNA (ENSOMYG00000056764.1)". The record is from RNAcentral. Lineage: Eukaryota; Metazoa; Chordata; Actinopteri; Salmoniformes; Salmonidae.
ACUGGUAGUGCUGGCAAUAGAGGAGAAAAAUAGCAACUGCUUCGGAAAAGAGGCAUUUUCUAUCGGUUGUAACGGUUCCUCAACGGAUAACGGUUCUAUCUGACGCCGGAUACGGAUAAUUGACAUAACUGGACUAACCGGAUUUAUGAGAAGAAGAUCAUUGCCUCAUCCCAGGACCCCUUCAGCUGAGACAGACUGCCAGUCAGUAACCACAUAGUGUAACACUCUCUGUAUCAGGGCACUGUAGUCCACAUCUAUUGGAGGAUCACUUAGUCUCAGUAUCUCACCUUUAACCCCUCACCCCCAGCCCUUGACCC